CAGCUGAUGCAAAGGCUUGAGAAUCAACAAGCUGAAAUGCAAAACCAGCAGCUUGAAAUGCAGGAACUCCUUAAGGCUUUACGAGCAGAAUUGCAGUCCAAGAACCAAGGCAAUGGAAAUGCAUCUGGUAGUAAUAGCUGAUAAAUGCUAUUCAUACUAGCUUUUGGAAGAUAUCUAUGGUUAUGGUUGAAUAACGUUGAAGAGAAAAUUGCCUUUUGCUCAUGGAGUGGUUCAUUUAGAUGUUUUUCAAUUUCUUAAACUGUAAUUGCUUUUGUACUUGUACCUUAUGUACAAGUGAUAUUUUGGACAAAUGUUAUUUUUGUAGGCAUUAGUUGGGUAAUGUACACUUGAAUUUGGCAUUUGAGAAUGCUAUAUUAUUACCAUGUAAUCUAAUGCAAAUACUUUUGGUUAUCAAUCGUUCAUGUUUA
Coffea arabica (coffee) is the source of this 428-nucleotide long non-coding RNA. RefSeq lists it as uncharacterized. NCBI's taxonomy places the organism in Eukaryota, Viridiplantae, Streptophyta, Magnoliopsida, Gentianales, Rubiaceae. The record is from RefSeq and is a predicted model, not a curated record.